CAUUUUGCACUCCGAGAUGCAGAUUUGUGGGUCCCUUUCUUCCCUGCCCAAGGAGCCAGAAAGUUAUACGAACCAUUUUGCAUCCAGUCUGUGAAAAGUGAAACUUCAGGCUUCAGUCCAGAGCAUUGACACUGGAAGCAAAAGAGACUUUGCACAGUCACAUCUGACCAUCCAGAAGCAGCUGAGUCAGUCCGCUAGAGUAUUCAUGCUCCUGCCAAGACAGCUGCAGGCAGAUGCAUCUCAGGUUGAACGCACCGCUUCCAGGAGUCAGCUCUUUCCUGAGCGAAAGGAUCGCUAAUUCCUCCCAUGCCAGGAGAGGCCAGUGAGGAGAGGGGGAUGCUCCACCUGAACAGCCUGCAGAAAGGGACCAACAGCAGCUCCCGCUCACUGACCUUCUCCUCUCGCUUGACCAGGCAGUGCUGUGCCCAGGAAAGAGCAAAAGACGGACUACAAAGCAGUGAAGGAGCCACCGUGUCAGUCCAGUCAUUGACUGCCAAACCCUCCUUCCGUCUCGAAGGUUUAACCGCUUGUAGUGGAAAAGCAUGGCCUGAAGGGAUCAAAAUAAGCUACAGCAGUUUUUUAUCACUACUUAUGCAGCCAGGCCAGAGGAGAACUGAGCAGCAGGCUCUACUUGCUGGCAAACCAAGGGCAACCAUGACAACUGCAGGAACUUGGUAG
This 678-nucleotide long non-coding RNA is filed under the name Accipiter nisus (Eurasian sparrowhawk). RNAcentral's name for it is "lncRNA (ENSANIG00000013793.1)". The record is from RNAcentral. Lineage: Eukaryota; Metazoa; Chordata; Aves; Accipitriformes; Accipitridae.